RNAcentral lists this ribosomal RNA (253 nucleotides) under uncultured prokaryote. Its description in RNAcentral is "partial 16S ribosomal RNA". It matches the Rfam family "Bacterial small subunit ribosomal RNA", at positions 525 to 777 of the family's 1533-position model. The record is from RNAcentral.
ACGGAGGGUGCAAGCGUUGUUCGGAAUUACUGCGCGUAAAGCGUACGUAGGCGGCGGAUCAAGUCGAAUGUUAAAGCCUGGGGCUCAACCCCAGAGAUGCACUCGAUACCGGUCUGCUAGAGGGUGAUAGAGGAAAGCGGAAUUCCCAGUGUAGCGGUGAAAUGCGUAGAUAUUGGGAGGAACAUCAGUAGCGAAGGCGGCUUUCUGGGUCACACCUGACGCUGAGGUACGAAAGCGUGGGGAGCAAACGGGA